CUCUUCCGAUCUCCCUGCACUUACAAGCUGUAGGAGCACAUUAUUUGUGUGACUGCGUACUUUUUGUAGAACGGGCCAACGAGUUACGUUGUGUAGCAAGGUUAAGCACUUAAGGUGUGGAGCCGUAGCGAAAGCGAGUCUUAAAUGGGCGAUUAAGUUACUUGGCGUAGACCCGAAACCGGGCGACCUAUCCAUGAGCAGGUUGAAGCGAAAGUAAAAUUUCGUGGAGGACCGAACCCACGAGCGUUGAAAAGCUCGGGGAUGACUUGUGGAUAGCGGUGAAAUUCCAAUCGAGCCCGGAGAUAGCUGGUUCUCCCCGAAAUAGCUUUAGGGCUAGCCUCAAGCGUAGAGAAACGGAGGUAGAGCACUGAAUGUCCUAGGGGGUAUUGCACUUACCGAAGACUAUCAAACUCCGAAUGCCGUUUUCUUUUACUUGGGAGUCAGACUGUGGGUGAUAAGAUUCAUAGUCAAAAGGGCAACAGCCCAGAUCGUCAGCUAAGGUCCCUAAAUGUACGUUAAGUGGUAAAGGAUGUGGGAUUGCACAGACAACCAGGAUGUUGGCUUAGAAGCAGCCACUCAUUUAAAGAGUGCGUAAUAGCUCACUGGUCGAGUGAUCCUGCGCCGAAAAUUUCCGGGGCUAAAACGUACUACCGAAGCUACGGCAUCAUUUAUGAUGGGUAGGGGAGCUUCGUAUGCAGGCUGAAGCAUGACCGUAAGGACAUGUGGACAGUAUACGAGUGAGAAUGUUGGCAUGAGUAGCGAGACGUGGGUGAGAAUCCCACGGGCCGUAAACCCAAGGUUUCCAGGGGAAGGUUCGUCCGCCCUGGGUUAGUCGGGACCUAAGCCGAGGCCGAAAGGCGUAGGUGAUGGACAACAGGUUGAUAUUCCUGUACCGCCAAUAAGCGUUUGAGAGAUGGAGUGACACAGUAGGAUAAGCUAACCGUACUGUUGGUUAUGUACGGCUAAGCAUUGAGGCAGUCUAAAUAGGCAAAUCCGUUUAGACAAUGCUAGGAUGUGAUGGGGAAGCCCUUCGGGGCGAAGUAGCUGAUUUCACACUGUCAAGAAAAGCUUCUAUCGAGUUUAAAGGCGCCCGUACCGUAAACCGACACAGGUGGGUGAGGAGAGUAUCCUAAGGCCAGCGAGAGAACUAUUGUUAAGGAACUCGGCAAAAUGACCCCGUAACUUAGGGAGAAGGGGUGCCUGUCUAUGACAGGCCGCAGAGAAUAGGCCCAAGCGACUGUUUACCAAAAACACAGGUUUCUGCUAAGUCGCAAGACGAUGUAUAGGAGCUGACGCCUGCCCGGUGCUGGAAGGUUAAGGGGAUCUGUUAGAGCAAUCGAAGCAGUGAACUUAAGCCCCAGUAAACGGCGGCCGUAACUAUAACGGUCCUAAGGUAGCGAAAUUCCUUGUCGGGUAAGUUCCGACCCGCACGAAAGGCGUAACGAUUUGGGCACUGUCUCAACAAUAGACUCGGUGAAAUUGUAAUCCCGGUGAAGAUGCCGGGUACCUGCGACAGGACGGAAAGACCCCAUGGAGCUUUACUGUAGCUUGACGUUGGGUCUUGGUACUACAUGUACAGGAUAGGUGGGAGACUAUGAAGCAUGGACGCCAGUCUGUGUGGAGUCAUCCUUGGGAUACCACCCUUGUAGUACUGGGAUCCUAACCAUAGGCCUUGAAUCAGGUCUUGGAACACCGUCAGGUGGGCAGUUUGACUGGGGCGGUCGCCUCCUAAAAAGUAACGGAGGCGCUCAAAGGUUUCCUCAGCACGGUCGGAAAUCGUGCGAAGAGUGUAAAGGCAAAAGGAAGCUUGAUUGCAAGACAUACAGGUCGAGCAAGGACGAAAGUCGGACUUAGUGAUCCGGUGGUACCGCAUGGAAGGGCCAUCGCUCAACGGAUAAAAGCUACCCUGGGGAUAACAGGCUUAUCUCCCCCAAGAGUCCACAUCGACGGGGAGGUUUGGCACCUCGAUGUCGGCUCA
Molecule: ribosomal RNA, 1978 nt
Filed under: human gut metagenome
Description: bacterial LSU rRNA
Rfam family: Bacterial large subunit ribosomal RNA
Source: RNAcentral